GACGAACGCUGGCGGCGUGCUUAACACAUGCAAGUCGAACGGAAAGGCCCUGCUUUUGUGGGGUGCUCGAGUGGCGAACGGGUGAGUAACACGUGAGUAACCUGCCCUUGACUUUGGGAUAACUUCAGGAAACUGGGGCUAAUACCGGAUAGGAGCUCCUGCUGCAUGGUGGGGGUUGGAAAGCUUCGGCGGUUGGGGAUGGACUCGCGGCUUAUCAGCUUGUUGGUGGGGUAGUGGCUUACCAAGGCUUUGACGGGUAGCCGGCCUGAGAGGGUGACCGGCCACAUUGGGACUGAGAUACGGCCCAGACUCCUACGGGAGGCAGCAGUGGGGAAUAUUGCACAAUGGGCGGAAGCCUGAUGCAGCAACGCCGCGUGCGGGAUGACGGCCUUCGGGUUGUAAACCGCUUUCGCCUGUGACGAAGCGUGAGUGACGGUAAUGGGUAAAGAAGCACCGGCUAACUACGUGCCAGCAGCCGCGGUGAUACGUAGGGUGCGAGCGUUGUCCGGAUUUAUUGGGCGUAAAGGGCUCGUAGGUGGUUGAUCGCGUCGGAAGUGUAAUCUUGGGGCUUAACCCUGAGCGUGCUUUCGAUACGGGUUGACUUGAGGAAGGUAGGGGAGAAUGGAAUUCCUGGUGGAGCGGUGGAAUGCGCAGAUAUCAGGAGGAACACCAGUGGCGAAGGCGGUUCUCUGGGCCUUUCCUGACGCUGAGGAGCGAAAGCGUGGGGAGCGAACAGGCUUAGAUACCCUGGUAGUCCACGCUGUAAACGGUGGGUACUAGGUGUGGGGUCCAUUCCACGGGUUCCGUGCCGUAGCUAACGCUUUAAGUACCCCGCCUGGGGAGUACGGCCGCAAGGCUAAAACUCAAAGGAAUUGACGGGGCCCCGCACAAGCGGCGGAGCAUGCGGAUUAAUUCGAUGCAACGCGUAGAACCUUACCUGGGUUUGACAUGGAUCGGGAGUGCUCAGAGAUGGGUGUGCCUCUUUUGGGGUCGGUUCACAGGUGGUGCAUGGCUGUCGUCAGCUCGUGUCGUGAGAUGUUGGGUUAAGUCCCGCAACGAGCGCAACCCUUGUUCACUGUUGCCAGCACGUUAUGGUGGGGACUCAGUGGAGACCGCCGGGGUCAACUCGGAGGAAGGUGGGGAUGACGCCAAGUCAUCAUGCCCCUUAUGUCCAGGGCUUCACGCAUGCUACAAUGGCUGGUACAGAGAGUGGCGAGCCUGUGAGGGUGAGCGAAUCUCGGAAAGCCGGUCUCAGUUCGGAUUGGGGUCUGCAACUCGACCUCAUGAAGUCGGAGUCGCUAGUAAUCGCAGAUCAGCAACGCUGCGGUGAAUACGUUCCCGGG
This 1343-nucleotide ribosomal RNA is filed under the name uncultured bacterium. RNAcentral describes it as "16S ribosomal RNA". It matches the Rfam family "Bacterial small subunit ribosomal RNA", at positions 28 to 1378 of the family's 1533-position model. The record is from RNAcentral.